CACCGCCGACGCCGCCGCCAUUUUAAUAGGGCGCUCGGGCUGCGCUCGGCUCUUUCCGCCCGUGCGAAGGAGCCGACGAGAAGCGCCUCGCGCUCUCAUUACUCCGCCUCCCCCCCCUUCUCCCGCCCUCCCACCGCACACACGCCGCACGCUCCACACCCCGCCGUGGCCGCUCGCCGCCCUCCCUUUCCUCUUCCGUCCGGCCUCCCCGCCCUCGGUCCACCCCCUCCGCGCGCUCGCCCACCCCUCCCAGCCCGGAUCUCUGUCAGCGGCCGGAAGGGAAACGCGAAGCCAGCGCGGCCGCGGGGGGAGUCCGGGUGAGUAAGCGAAGAUGGCGGAGGCGCCUAGCGGGUCGCGUUUGCGCGGCGUCGCCCACCGCGGCUCACGCCGCGGGCUGCAAGGCCUGACGAGCGCGGGGUCACUCGUGCCAUCCUGACCCCCCGCCCCUGCGCUUCGCCAUUUUUCCUCCCAGCCCAAGAAGGGAAGUUAAUGAAGGUUUCGGCCUGCGUUUAGUGCGAGGAAAGUAGGGGGUCAACAAGGGUGCUAGGCCAAGGCGACAGGGCAGGCCAGGUUCCGGCACACGGCCCUCUCCCCACGGGGUUCAGUGAAAAUGGAACAUCCCAGGGCCCGCCUUAACCUGCAUCCCCGUUUAUUGCUACCUUGCAAUUUGAGGCCCAUCUGUCUCUGGCAAUAAGACAAGUUGACGGUACUAGAAAUGGCGGGUACAGUGUUCGCAUGGCAUCUCGUUUUAACGCAAGGAGGCCGCUCGCUCACAAUAUGCCUGUCCACUCUGUACCUGCAAGAGUACAGAGCUGAGUGCAAUAGCAAGGGCUAUUAAGACGAUCGAGGAGUGAAGGGGAAGGGGACCCUCAGCUGAAGUUUAGUAUUGUGUUAACUAGUUUGGAAAAUUUUCCUUGCACCUGCUAAAGAACGCCUUAGAAAAAUAGAAAAAGUAUGUGUGGAUAAAAAAUAAAAAAUUAAGAAGGAAGCCUCGGUAGUAAUUUUUUAUGGGUUUUGUCGAGAUUACGUCACACAAUUUCUCCAUACACAGACCACCUUGCCCAUUAUGCCAUGCCUUUCUGUCGGUGUCAUAAAGUUUGUACCCUACUGGUUUUUAAGUUUCCUUAGAAGCUGUAGGGCUAUUUUGCAUACAUAAUCUUCCUUGCUUACCCUCCAAACUUGGGUUUCUGCAUCCAGUAUUGUCC
RNAcentral lists this long non-coding RNA (1205 nucleotides) under Marmota monax (woodchuck). The record is from RNAcentral. Lineage: Eukaryota; Metazoa; Chordata; Mammalia; Rodentia; Sciuridae.